This 811-nucleotide ribosomal RNA is filed under the name uncultured bacterium. Its description in RNAcentral is "bacterial SSU rRNA". It matches the Rfam family "Bacterial small subunit ribosomal RNA", at positions 636 to 1446 of the family's 1533-position model. The record is from RNAcentral.
UNUGACUUGAGUGCAGAAGGGGAGAGUGGAAUUCCAUGUGUAGCGGUGAAAUGCGUAGAUAUAUGGAGGAACACCAGUGGCGAAAGCGGCUCUCUGGUCUGUCACUGACGCUGAGGCUCGAAAGCGUGGGUAGCGAACAGGAUUAGAUACCCUGGUAGUCCACGCCGUAAACGAUGAGUGCUAGGUGUUAGGCCCUUUCCGGGGCUUAGUGCCGGAGCUAACGCAAUAAGCACUCCGCCUGGGGAGUACGACCGCAAGGUUGAAACUCAAAGGAAUUGACGGGGGCCCGCACAAGCGGUGGAGCAUGUGGUUUAAUUCGAAGCAACGCGAAGAACCUUACCAGAUCUUGACAUCCCGAUGCUAUUCUUAGAGAUAGGAAGUUACUUCGGUACAUCGGAGACAGGUGGUGCAUGGUUGUCGUCAGCUCGUGUCGUGAGAUGUUGGGUUAAGUCCCGCAACGAGCGCAACCCUUAUUGUUAGUUGCCAUCAUUAAGUUGGGCACUCUAGCGAGACUGCCGGUAAUAAACCGGAGGAAGGUGGGGAUGACGUCAAAUCAUCAUGCCCCUUAUGACCUGGGCUACACACGUGCUACAAUGGUCGGUACAACGAGUUGCGAGCCGGUGACGGCAAGCUAAUCACUGAAAGCCGAUCUCAGUUCGGAUUGGAGGCUGCAACUCGCCUCCAUGAAGUCGGAAUCGCUAGUAAUCGCGGAUCAGCACGCCGCGGUGAAUACGUUCCCGGGCCUUGUACACACCGCCCGUCACACCACGAGAGUUUGUAACACCCGAAGUCGGUGAGGUAACCUUUUAGG